GUCAGUUCAACAUGCUAGAGUUUCUCUUUCAGGCACCUCAGCACCUCUGAACCUCUGCCAGGCACGUGGACUUAUAUCUGUGGUCUAGGGCAGACAUCAUCUGUGGGAGUGCAGAGGUAUUAAAUUAGGAGAGAUCUGCAACCAAAAACCAAGCCGAGCUCCAGGAAUCCAGAUGAAGAGAAGGAGGAAGGAAUAUAUGAGCAAGGGAGGUCAAUAUCAUGAUGCAGAAAUCAACAGAGACAACUGAACCUAGCUUGUGGAAACUCAUGAAUGCUAGACUGACAGUUGCAGAGACCCGAGGGGACCGAACAAGGCCCUUGAUAUGUGGGAGACAGUUGUGAAGUUUGGACUAGCUGAAGCAGCCCUGGCAGUAGGACCAUAUACAAACCUGGUGCCUGAGUCAGCUUGUUGGAGCCCAUUCCCCAUGUUGGGAUGCCAUGCUCAGCGUUAAGGGUCUCCUACUGCUCAGGCUAUCAUGAAACUCAGGAUGGAGAAGAGAAAAUCCCAAACUUCUGAUACUCCUCCCGCUUCUACAUCAGAAGUUCUUGUCCCACAGACUCAGAAGACAAUAACAGACAAUUAUAUGGGUGAUAUUAUUUUAUUAUUAUUAACUGCAAAUUUCCCCCAAGGAGUGUAUAUGCAUGAAGA
Mesocricetus auratus (golden hamster) is the source of this 648-nucleotide long non-coding RNA. RefSeq lists it as uncharacterized. The transcript is spliced from 4 exons. NCBI's taxonomy places the organism in Eukaryota, Metazoa, Chordata, Mammalia, Rodentia, Cricetidae. The record is from RefSeq and is a predicted model, not a curated record.